Pseudopipra pipra is the source of this 1846-nucleotide long non-coding RNA. RefSeq lists it as uncharacterized. The transcript has 3 exons. NCBI's taxonomy places the organism in Eukaryota, Metazoa, Chordata, Aves, Passeriformes, Pipridae. The record is from RefSeq and is a predicted model, not a curated record.
GGGCCCGCUCCGGCCGCGGGGAGCUGGGGGCCUGCCGGGGAGGGAAGAACGGCGGCAGCCCUUUCCCCGUUCCUCCCGUGCUCCGGGACCCCGAGCAGAGCUGCUCGUUUGUCCCCGUGUCCCUGUGUCUGUCCUCAGGCGGCCCCAGGAGCUGGCACUGACCGUGCCGCGGGUCGGGCACAGGCUGCUCCCAGCUCUGCCUGCGGAACUUCGGCAAUUACCGACAGCAGUUCUUUGCCCUGCCAUCCAGAAGGUGCGGCUCAUCUGACACCAGCCAGACGGGGAAGGCCCUGCCUGGGAGGGAAACGGCUACAGGGGAGGAAACCAAGAAAUGCUCCAACCGGAUGGUGCUGCGCGAGUCAAAAGAGGGGCAAGACCGCGGGCAAAUACAGUCAGGAAAUGAGCUUUUAUUCAAUCUCUGCAGGAGCCCUUCGCAGCCACGGGCCGGAGGGAGCGCGGCCGGCUGGGCUGUGCCCGGCUGGGGACGGGCACCAAUUCAUCGCUGCCCUGCUCAGGGAGGUUUUCCGGCCCCGUCCGGGCUUCACCCAACGGCUGCAAAGGUGCUCGUGCGGCAUCCGAGCUCAUUUCCAGGGAUAAAGGAGCCAAACGAGUCCGGAGGGAUCCCUCGCUCCGAGGCAAAGGCGUUUGGUCGAGUGUCGCCGCCUGGUCCCGCCUGCGGGGGAGCGUCUCCUCCAGGUGAGCCUUCGGAACCCAAAAUGCCGGGGGGGCUCAGGUCGGGGCCGCUUUUCGGGCCCGGAGUUGGACGGAGCCCUCGGCGGCUCCCGCUUCCCGCCAGGAACGUUCUCGGGGCUCCCUGGGCAGUCCCAGCUGGGCAGGGAACGCGGGCCGGGAGGAGGCCGGAGCGACAGACAGCGACCCAGCCCUGCUUGGGCUUCCUAUUGCCAGGGGAUGGAGGAGCUGUGCCCUGGAGCUGUGCCCUACAGCCCCCGUGGGGUGGGCACGGGGAAAGGGCUGCCCGCGGCUCCUCAGCCGGGCGCUGCUCUGGACGGGCCCCCUGAGAUGCCUCACCCUGGACACGCCCCAGCGCCAGCCCCAAAGGACCCAAAGAAUCCAGCUGGCACUCGGCAGUGUCGGCACGGCGGGGCUGCAGAGCAGCGCGGGCAGCCAUUCCCAGGGCCCACCUCCCAGAGCUCCCCCGCGCCCCCCACGGGUGUCCCGCCCGCCCCAAAUCCCUGCCCUUCCAGCCGGAGGCCAGCAGCCAGCAGCAGCCUUAAAGCCAGGGCCAUGUGCCCUCAGCGGCACUAAAUCCCGAGCAAGAGCCCUCGGAGAUGCCUGAAAAGAAAAGAGGGUGCUUGGAGAAAGUUGGGCUUGGAUGCAAUUCGCAGUUUUUCGGGGACCCAACCGCACCUGCAGAACCCGUGGACAGCUGGAACAGGUGAAUUGUGCACAAGCCAGUCCCCCAUUCCCUAUCCAGGCUGGGAGUGCUCGUGCCCUUGGCACAGAUGGCUCUGGCUGGGCAGGAACUGAGAGCAGGACGUGGGGCAGAGUGGAUCAGCUGCCCAGGGAACAUCCAGGAGAUGAAGCUACGGGAUCCUCAUUCCAAUCAAGGGAACACAUUCUGUCUCUGGCAGAAGCCGGGAGCCAAAGCAGAUCCCGCCUGGCCAGGCUGGGGGGCAGCAGUUGGAUCCACUCUGGGGGAAAGCCCCUGUGCCUGCCAGGAGCUCUGACUCUGUUUGUCCUGCCAGCUCUGACCAGUGUCAGGGCCACUGGGAGGGAUUCAGAAUCCACAGAAAUCCCAAAUCCUACUGAGGGACUCAAUCAAAGGAAGAAAGUAAUUUUUGUCAUAAAAAGCUUAAAAAAACUGUUAAAAAUUCUAGGACAGCAA